CAGUGCCAGAGUCAUGCCAGCAAGAAUUGUUCUCUCGCCCCAGCUUCACUACAGAAAUAAGAGUCCCCCAUGCUGGUCCUCUCAGGCCAUCUGGAGUUGGGAAAAGCAGACGGAAGCAAGGCCAGGCCCCCUGUUGUCGGUCUGUAAGCAACGGCCAUUUGAAGUUGAGCCAGGGAGUAGGAGCCAGACAGCGGGCUGGCUAGUGUCUGGGCUUGGUCUGUCUGGAGGAGGGGCUAAGGGAAGGCCAGGCCGGGCUCGACUCUUUUUGGCAGCAACACAGCCGAGGGAACUUAGCAUGAGAAGGCAGUCAAGGUGCUCAAGUUACAUAGCUGCUGCUUGAGGGGUUCUGCUGCACGUCAUCCUCACUUAAGGACCCAGGCAGACGGGCAGAGUUUCUAG
Molecule: long non-coding RNA, 399 nt
Organism: Zalophus californianus (California sea lion)
Lineage: Eukaryota; Metazoa; Chordata; Mammalia; Carnivora; Otariidae
Exons: 3
Source: RefSeq, a predicted model, not a curated record